This 253-nucleotide ribosomal RNA is filed under the name uncultured bacterium. RNAcentral's name for it is "partial 16S ribosomal RNA". It matches the Rfam family "Bacterial small subunit ribosomal RNA", at positions 524 to 776 of the family's 1533-position model. The record is from RNAcentral.
UACGUAGGGAGCAAGCGUUAUCCGGAUUUAUUGGGUGUAAAGGGUGCGUAGACGGGAAAUUAAGUUAGUUGUGAAAUCCCUCGGCUCAACUGAGGAACUGCAACUAAAACUGAUUUUCUUGAGUGCUGGAGAGGAAAGUAGAAUUCCUAGUGUAGCGGUGAAAUGCGUAGAUAUUAGGAGGAACACCAGUGGCGAAGGCGACUUUCUGGACAGUAACUGACGUUGAGGCACGAAAGUGUGGGGAGCAAACAGG